This 406-nucleotide ribosomal RNA is filed under the name uncultured bacterium. RNAcentral's name for it is "bacterial SSU rRNA". It matches the Rfam family "Bacterial small subunit ribosomal RNA", at positions 355 to 775 of the family's 1533-position model. The record is from RNAcentral.
UGGGGAAUAUUGGGCAAUGGGCGCAAGCCUGACCCAGCAACGCCGCGUGAAGGAAGAAGGCUUUCGGGUUGUAAACUUCUUUUGUCGGGGACGAAACAAAUGACGGUACCCGACGAAUAAGCCACGGCUAACUACGUGCCAGCAGCCGCGGUAAUACGUAGGUGGCAAGCGUUAUCCGGAUUUACUGGGUGUAAAGGGCGUGUAGGCGGGAUUGCAAGUCAGAUGUGAAAACUGGGGGCUCAACCUCCAGCCUGCAUUUGAAACUGUAGUUCUUGAGUGCUGGAGAGGCAAUCGGAAUUCCGUGUGUAGCGGUGAAAUGCGUAGAUAUACGGAGGAACACCAGUGGCGAAGGCGGAUUGCUGGACAGUAACUGACGCUGAGGCGCGAAAGCGUGGGGAGCAAACAG